GCAAAAUGAUGAUAUAAAGGCUAAUGUGACUCAACCAGCUGGGUUGGACCCUCAGUCCAUUCCAGUAAUACAGGUCUGUAAUCUUGGUGGGCAAUGCUGAGCUGUGCAUGUUCGCUGUAAGGGCAGGCCAACAGAAAAUCCACUUCCUCGUGUCCCUGGAAAAUACAUCUUCAGGAAACAUCAGCUCUGAGUGAGUGUUGCUUUGAGCUGACAGGAGGCUGUGGGAAUAGGAUAGGACAGCAUAUCCAAGGUUUGGGUUGCAGGGGCCAACCCACAGUAAAGCUGGUGAGAUGUGAGCACAAGUCUUUGGUAAUCUGAUGGCU
Molecule: small nucleolar RNA, 323 nt
Organism: Pogoniulus pusillus (Red-fronted tinkerbird)
Lineage: Eukaryota; Metazoa; Chordata; Aves; Piciformes; Lybiidae
Source: RefSeq, a predicted model, not a curated record